Molecule: ribosomal RNA, 253 nt
Filed under: uncultured bacterium
Lineage: Bacteria
Description: partial 16S ribosomal RNA
Rfam family: Bacterial small subunit ribosomal RNA
Source: RNAcentral
UACGAAGGGGGCUAGCGUUGUUCGGAAUUACUGGGCGUAAAGCGCGCGCAGGCGGUCUUCCAAGUCAGUGGUGAAAGCCCGGGGCUCAACCCCGGAAUUGCCUUUAAGACUGCAUCGCUUGAAUCCGGGAGAGGUGAGUGGAAUUCCGAGUGUAGAGGUGAAAUUCGUAGAUAUUCGGAAGAACACCAGUGGCGAAGGCGGCUCACUGGACCGGUAUUGACGCUGAGGUGCGAAAGCGUGGGGAGCAAACAGG